GGGUAAGGCCCCCGGCAGACCACCGGGUUGAUAGGCCGGAACUGGAAGCACAGCAAUGUGUGGAGGUGACCGGUACUAAUAGGCCGAGGACUUACCAC
RNAcentral lists this ribosomal RNA (98 nucleotides) under Rhodococcus rhodochrous J3. Its description in RNAcentral is "23S rRNA. Bacterial LSU". It matches the Rfam family "Bacterial large subunit ribosomal RNA", at positions 2826 to 2925 of the family's 2925-position model. The record is from RNAcentral. Lineage: Bacteria; Bacillati; Actinomycetota; Actinomycetes; Mycobacteriales; Nocardiaceae.